RNAcentral lists this non-coding RNA (67 nucleotides) under Burkholderia pseudomallei 305. Its description in RNAcentral is "int-alpA RNA". It matches the Rfam family "int-alpA RNA". From Rfam's summary of the family: Acidobacteria (1 example), Planctomycetes (1 example), Proteobacteria. Environment (Lake Washington) The record is from Rfam by way of RNAcentral. Lineage: Bacteria; Pseudomonadati; Pseudomonadota; Betaproteobacteria; Burkholderiales; Burkholderiaceae.
GCCGCGCCUAGUUCGAUGGUGCGAACGCCGGGCACCCUACCCGGCUGGCGCGGCUCUUAAAUAGGGC